AGGAGGAAGAGGCUGCUUUUAGCUGUGGAGAUGUCUGAGACAGCUUCAUGGAGAAAGUAGCACCUGAGCUGACCCUCCUAGGGAAAGAUGCCAAGAUGUAGAAAUGAAGAGAAGGUGCACUCCAGACAGAAAGUUAAAGGGACGGCUCACUGCUUCUUCUUGGAGAGACAGAUAAAAGAGUUGGCAAAGUUGAUUUUAUUGUAUCCAAAGAUAGUAUACUCACUCUUUCCUACUGGAAACCAAAAAAAAAAAAUGGAGAGGAACACCAGACUCUUACUGAUCACUGCCCUGGAGCACAGAGUCGACUCCAGAUGGCUCUGGAGGUGAUCAGGAGGGCAGAGGUACCAAAUCUAAUCUUCCAGUUCCACAGACCCUUCCCUUCAUCACCAGCCAUUCAUCAUAAAGUUUUGCUGCAUUGUGGCACCCAAGGACUUCCUAGAAUGUUCAAAAAGAUCAAUAGAUCAACAAGCAUAUAUUAAGCACCUAGUAUGUGCCAGGGGACACUAGGUGCUGGAGAUAAGAAGAAUCUCUAUUUAAAAGUUUAUAUCUCUAUACCAUUGACUUUUAAAAAGUGCCCCAACCCCACCCACCAUUUCUACAUAAAACCCUGAACCCUUUGCUUUCUAGUAUAAUGGGGGUUGCACCUCAUGGACAGAGUUAUCCUGCCUACUUCUCAAUGACCAGGUGGGCUGGCUCAAUGCUUGAUUCAGGAGCUUAUUGGGGUGAUGGAGCAAUCCUCUUAUUGUGAGUUCUUUACCCUGAUGAGACUAACAAGGGAAGGGCUGCAUCAGUUUAAAGAGGAGAGACAGCUUCCAGCUCUCUGUCUCUGUCUCUCCUUUUCCAUCUCUCUGUCUCUGUCUCUCUAUCUCUUCCUUUCUGUCUCUGGAACGUAUGACCAAUAGUUCUCUCUCCUUGAAUUUCCCAUGGAGGGUGGGUGAAGAAAGGAAGCUCAUCCUACCACAAUCAGCUACUGCUCCCACAAAACGACUAGAGCAAGGCUCAGCUAGGUGAGCUUAAGCCUCAGAUUCUGGCUGCUUCUUUUGCUUUGAAUUUCUUUGCCUGAAUGUAGGUGACUGAGCAGCAAUCCUAAAAUGGACAUAUCCAGCCUUGGAGGUCACCUCAUGAACUCAAGAGGAUCCUUAGUCAGUAUGAGAAAUAUUUUUCUUAUAUCUGUUUCUGGGCUUCUUGAAGAAGACAAUCGCCAGCCAGAGUAUGAGAGCAAGUCCUGGGCUGACUUACCAGAAGAUGUGGAUCUAGAAGGAAUUGUUUAGACAGUGUAGAGCCAAGGUGAAAUAUAAAAUGUCUAUUCAUCUGUCCAUGAAACUGCAUCAUGUCUGUGUUUUAAGUAUCAACCUCCUGGGAGAGUAUAAUAGCAGCUAUAUUAAUAUAUCCAUUUCAAGUCUUUUGUCAAUGCAUGAUUGCAAAUCUUGUGUAUGCUAAGUAUGUCUUUUGUGCAGAGGAAAUAAAGCUGGUCUG
This is a non-coding RNA of Phascolarctos cinereus (koala), 1476 nucleotides long. NCBI's taxonomy places the organism in Eukaryota, Metazoa, Chordata, Mammalia, Diprotodontia, Phascolarctidae. The record is from RefSeq and is a predicted model, not a curated record.